This 969-nucleotide ribosomal RNA is filed under the name Triticum aestivum (bread wheat). Its description in RNAcentral is "partial small subunit ribosomal RNA". Lineage: Eukaryota; Viridiplantae; Streptophyta; Magnoliopsida; Poales; Poaceae. The record is from RNAcentral.
AUGGACAACACCCAAUUCGCCAUGAUUGAGGAGCUGGCCUCGCUCAUCAAGGACAACCUCUACAGCAAGCACCUCGUCCUCUCCAUCGAGGAGGCUCUUGUCACUCUCCUGCAGCAACGGUACCACGAUGACGACGACGAGGAGGAACAUGACCGCGCCGCGACCGGAGCGCGUCACGGGCCAGCUGGGAAUACCAUAGAGCUCCAGCCCACCAGCUCAUACAACCGCCUCCUUUUGCAUCGUCUCGCCGACAUUUAUGGGUUUGCUCAUGAAUCUGUUGGCGAGGGCGAGGAUCGGCAUUUGGUUCUCCAGCGCUGCCCUGAAACAGCCAUCCCUCCUGUCCUUGUCAGCGAUGUGUUAUGGAAUUAUGACGACAGUGAUGGCCCUUCAGCCUCUCUUAUGCUAGCGAGAAAUGAGACAGAUCUUCAGAAAACUCAUGAGCCAGAAGAUGUCCAAAACGCUAUUUCUCUUGAAAGCUUGCAUCUGAAAACUGAUACACCAGUUUCGAAGCCUUUGCAGCAGUCGGUGCCACCUUCAGCAGCAUCACUCAAAGAGAGGGAAGCUGCUUAUCGGGCUGCACGUGAGCGAAUCUUCUCUUCGCAUGAAGCCAAGGGAAACGACACAUCAGCAGCAAAAUCUAGGCAUGUUCCUGCUGUUGCUCAACGGAUGAUCGCACAUGCACUUGGUAAGAGAGUUGAAGAUCCAACAGAGAGAGCUGCCUUGGUCAAAGGGAAGGAACUGGUAAAUGGACGAACUAGUCCGACGAGUAAAGAAGCAGUUAAACACAACUCAAGCUCACCUGAUGGUGGUCCGUAUCGGAACCCAUCUACUCGAAGCCGUCCUACACCUACUGUUAGCGCCGAGACGCUGAAGAAAGAACAGACUGGAGCGGCUAAAAGGAUGUUUGCACAUGCAUUGCGGCUCCCUGGCGUUGAAAUACCCAAUGGCGCAGCACGAAAACCCAAGUAA